AAAAUGUUUAGUUUAUUGGAUUGGUGAGAAGCGGUGGUCGAUUGUAAGCACAUCUGCGUUGAUUAGAGAAUGACAUGCCUGGCGAUUGCAUACAUACCAAAUUCCAGGGAAAAUGGCAUCCUUCGUUGAUAAUUGCAAGUGGCCAUGUGCAUUUUAGUUUUAUUCUAAAAUGAUCUGAGAUAGACCAAAAUGAUCCACAGCUGACCAAAGUGACGACGCCACUGUUGCUCCUACAGACGACAGUAUAACAGUCACAUCUCAAUACACAUGGAAAGGAGGAGGGAUGGGAGAGAGUCACAAAGGCCCUGAAUGACAAGGUUAGGAAGCAAAUAGUCAAGCUGGAAUAAAGAGGCUGUGCUGACAUGGACACAUACGUCUUGACAAAUUUCAAUGUUUUAAUAAAACUUGGAUUAAGUACUUAGUUUUGUUACAGUUAUCCUUAGGUGGGUGAAGUAAAAGUGAAAUAUAUACUUUUGUUCUUCUGUAAUUUGAAUAAUUAUGCAGUCACAAAGCACAGUGCAAAGUUUGUACACUUUUGUUAGCUUACCUGAGCCAAAGACUCAUGGUGAGCUUUUGUGACCGCUUAAUGUCCGUUGUCAGUUGUCCAGUUGUGUGUCGUGCGUCCGUCAACAUUUCAGUGGAAUACUGCUGGUAUGCCACUGGUAU
Molecule: long non-coding RNA, 666 nt
Organism: Mercenaria mercenaria
Lineage: Eukaryota; Metazoa; Mollusca; Bivalvia; Venerida; Veneridae
Exons: 3
Source: RefSeq, a predicted model, not a curated record